Non-coding RNA from Characodon lateralis, 76 nucleotides. NCBI's taxonomy places the organism in Eukaryota, Metazoa, Chordata, Actinopteri, Cyprinodontiformes, Goodeidae. The record is from the annotation of a GenBank genome assembly.
UGUAUGGUGGUGCAGUUGGUAGCACUGUUGCCUUUCAGCAAGAAGGUCCUGGGUUUGACUCCCAUCCAGGGAUCAU